RNAcentral lists this transfer-messenger RNA (223 nucleotides) under Clonorchis sinensis. RNAcentral's name for it is "transfer-messenger RNA Leuco_citre_KM20". It matches the Rfam family "transfer-messenger RNA", at positions 154 to 374 of the family's 374-position model. Rfam says of the family: Bacterial tmRNA, also known as 10Sa RNA or SsrA, is named for its dual tRNA and mRNA-like properties. Its role is to liberate the mRNA from a stalled ribosome. To accomplish this part of the tmRNA is used as a reading frame that ends in a translation stop signal. The record is from RNAcentral. Lineage: Eukaryota; Metazoa; Platyhelminthes; Trematoda; Opisthorchiida; Opisthorchiidae.
UAACUUGGCUUUGGUUGCUGGCGUCUGAAGUCAGGUCAUAGAAGGUCAGAUCGUUUGUGUAUUUACAUCUGGAGUACAUGAAUUAAAUGAAUCAGGUUAGUGUCUUGUGUGAGCCUCGUUUUGUGGCGUUACAGGGCAUGAAAAUUAAAUGACAAGACUAUAAGCGUAGAUGUUGAUGUACCGGGUGGCUUGGACAGGGGUUCGACUCCCCUCGACUCCACUA